AAUCAACUAAUAUAUCUUGUUUUUUAACUAUUGGUAAUUGGGAUUCCUGUGCCCAACCGUAUGUGCAAUCAAAAACAUCAAACCGGAAACGGACAGGAAUUACUUUUUUGAAGACUACCCCAAUACAACUGCAGAAAAGCCAACUUUAAUACAAUUUAAGUGAUAAACAUGUGUUGUAAAGAUAGUGCCUUCCCUGUCUCUAGAAGAGGAACAAAUGGUUUUUAAAAAGUUCCUGGAUUUCAAAGUUUACAUCGGGCCUGGACAAGCAUUUUGUUACAAUGAAGGUGGAUGGUUCAGACUGGUUUUUGCCACUCACCCUGAUCAACUUAGAAUAGGUAUGGAGCGUGUUGUUUCAUGUGUAGAUGCCAUCCGUAAAGAAAAUCUCUACUGUAGAAAUAGAAGUAUGUGUCAUGACCACCUCACUGCUUUUAACAGUGACAAAACUGAUGAAGUGAUGACCGAUGGCGAAUCAUUUGAAGAACAAGCACAAGGUUUUAGAUUAAGUAUCAGUAAUAGUGACUGUCUUUCAUUGAAAACAACAGAAAAAAGGACAAAAGAAAUUGAGAAACAUCACCACGAAGAUGUUGCAUCCAAAACUGAGUAAUCAGUCUUUGCAUCCAGAUUUUUCAGUUUCAUUAAGAAAGUACACUACUUUUAGCUUGUAUGUCAUAACAAUCCAAUAACUUCUUGUAUUAUUUUGAUAUUUCGUUUCUCUCAAAACAAAUGAGCAAAUUGUGAGGCCA
RNA transcript from Exaiptasia diaphana, 743 nucleotides. RefSeq lists it as uncharacterized. The transcript is spliced from 3 exons. Lineage: Eukaryota; Metazoa; Cnidaria; Anthozoa; Actiniaria; Aiptasiidae. The record is from RefSeq and is a predicted model, not a curated record.